UACGAAGGGGGCUAGCGUUGCUCGGAAUCACUGGGCGUAAAGGGUGCGUAGGCGGGUCUUUAAGUCAGGGGUGAAAUCCUGGAGCUCAACUCCAGAACUGCCUUUGAUACUGAAGAUCUUGAGUGCGGGAGAGGUGAGUGGAACUGCGAGUGUAGAGGUGAAAUGCGUAGAUAUCUGCAGGAACACCCGUGGCGAAAGCGGCGCGCUGGACCACUACUGACGCUGAGGAACGAAAGCUAGGGGAGCAAACAGG
RNAcentral lists this ribosomal RNA (253 nucleotides) under uncultured bacterium. RNAcentral describes it as "partial 16S ribosomal RNA". It matches the Rfam family "Bacterial small subunit ribosomal RNA", at positions 524 to 776 of the family's 1533-position model. The record is from RNAcentral.